Molecule: ribosomal RNA, 318 nt
Filed under: Pyrus communis (pear)
Lineage: Eukaryota; Viridiplantae; Streptophyta; Magnoliopsida; Rosales; Rosaceae
Description: eukaryotic LSU rRNA
Source: RNAcentral
UGCAGAAUCCCGUGAACCAUCGAGUAUUUGAACACAAGUUGCGAGGGCACGCCUUCCUGGGCAUCACACGCCGUUGCCCCUCGCGCCUUCCUCGGGAGCGUCGGGGUGCAGACGAUGUCCUCCCGUGCAUCGACCUGCGCGAUUGGCACAAAUGUCGAGUCCUCGACGACGAAUGCCACGAUAAUCGGUGGUUGCCAAACCUCGGUUGCCUGUUGUGCGCUUUCGUCGCGCUCCGAGCGGCUCGCGACACUCCCCGCUUUACUUCGGCCGAGCUUUCAAUGCGACCCCAGGUCAGGCGGGGUUACCCGCUGAAUUUAA